AUUUAUGUAGUAUAAAUAUUAUUCUUGACUUCCAAUCAAGAGAUCUAACAAAUUAGCAUAAAUA
RNAcentral lists this transfer RNA (64 nucleotides) under Ignelater luminosus. RNAcentral describes it as "tRNA-Gly". Lineage: Eukaryota; Metazoa; Arthropoda; Insecta; Coleoptera; Elateridae. The record is from RNAcentral.